CGCGCAGGCGGCCACUUAAGCCCGGCGUGAAAGCCCCCGGCUCAACCGGGGAGGGUCGUCGGGGACUGGGUGGCUUGAGGACGGCAGGGGCUGGUGGAAUCCCCGGUGUAGUGGUGAAAUGCGUAGAGAUCGGGGGGAACACCCGUGGCGAAGGCGGCCAGCUGGGCCGGUCCUGACGCUGAGGCGCGAAGGCGUGGGGAGCGAACG
RNAcentral lists this ribosomal RNA (207 nucleotides) under uncultured bacterium. RNAcentral describes it as "partial 16S ribosomal RNA". It matches the Rfam family "Bacterial small subunit ribosomal RNA", at positions 568 to 774 of the family's 1533-position model. The record is from RNAcentral.